UACGUAGGGGGCGAGCGUUGUCCGGAUUUACUGGGCGUAAAGGGUGAGUAGGCGGUUGUAUAUGUCAGAUGUAAAAGGCACAGGCUUAACUUGUGUAAGCAUUUGAAACUGUACAACUUGAGUGCAGGAGAGGUAAGUGGAAUUCCUAGUGUAGCGGUGAAAUGCGUAGAUAUUAGGAGGAACACCAGUGGCGAAGGCGACUUACUGGACUGUAACUGACGCUGAGUCACGAAAGCGUGGGUAGCAAACAGG
Molecule: ribosomal RNA, 252 nt
Filed under: uncultured bacterium
Lineage: Bacteria
Description: partial 16S ribosomal RNA
Rfam family: Bacterial small subunit ribosomal RNA
Source: RNAcentral